RNAcentral lists this ribosomal RNA (253 nucleotides) under uncultured bacterium. Its description in RNAcentral is "partial 16S ribosomal RNA". It matches the Rfam family "Bacterial small subunit ribosomal RNA", at positions 524 to 776 of the family's 1533-position model. The record is from RNAcentral.
UACAGAGGGUGCAAGCGUUAAUCGGAGUUACUGGGCGUAAAGGGCGCGUAGGCGGUUAUGCAAGUGAGAUGUGAAAUCCCUGGGCUUAACCUAGGAAUUGCAUCUUAGACUGUGUAACUGGAGUACAGUAGAGGGUGGUGGAAUUUCCGGUGUAGCGGUGAAAUGCGUAGAGAUCGGAAGGAACAUCAGUGGCGAAGGCGGCCACCUGGACUGAUACUGACGCUGAGGCGCGAAAGCGUGGGGAGCAAACAGG